RNAcentral lists this ribosomal RNA (426 nucleotides) under uncultured bacterium. Its description in RNAcentral is "bacterial SSU rRNA". It matches the Rfam family "Bacterial small subunit ribosomal RNA", at positions 355 to 774 of the family's 1533-position model. The record is from RNAcentral.
UCGAGAAUUUUUCACAAUGGGCGAAAGCCUGAUGGAGCGACGCCGCGUGGGGGAUGAAUGGCUUCGGCCCGUAAACCCCUGUCAUUUGCGAAUAAACUCUGGGAUUUAAAAGAUCUCGGAUUGAAAGUAGCAGAAGAGGAAGGGACGGCUAACUCUGUGCCAGCAGCCGCGGUAAUACAGAGGUCCCAAGCGUUGUUCGGAUUUACUGGGCGUAAAGGGUGCGUAGGUGGUAGGGUAAGUUCAGGGUGAAAUCUUCGGGCUCAACCCGAAAAUUGCCUCGAAAACUAUCCUGCUAGAGGAUCAGAGGGGAGACUGGAAUUCUCGGUGUAGCAGUGAAAUGCGUAGAUAUCGAGAGGAACACCUGUGGCGAAGGCGAGUCUCUGGAUGAUUCCUGACACUGAGGCACGAAAGCCAGGGGAGCAAACG